GUGUAGCGGUGAAAUGCGUAGAGAUCUGAAGGAAUACCGAUGGCGAAGGCAGCCACCUGGGUCAACACUGACGCUCAUGUACGAAAGCGUGGGGAGCAAACAGGAUUAGAUACCCUGGUAGUCCACGCCGUAAACGAUGUCUACUAGAAGCUCGGAGCCUCGGCUCUGUUUUUCAAAGCUAACGCAUUAAGUAGACCGCCUGGGGAGUACGGCCGCAAGGUUAAAACUCAAAUGAAUUGACGGGGGCCCGCACAAGCGGUGGAGCAUGUGGUUUAAUUCGAUGCAACGCGAAGAACCUUACCUACACUUGACAUACAGAGAACUUACCAGAGAUGGUUUGGUGCCUUCGGGAACUCUGAUACAGGUGCUGCAUGGCUGUCGUCA
Molecule: ribosomal RNA, 384 nt
Filed under: Pseudoalteromonas sp.
Lineage: Bacteria; Pseudomonadati; Pseudomonadota; Gammaproteobacteria; Alteromonadales; Pseudoalteromonadaceae
Description: bacterial SSU rRNA
Rfam family: Bacterial small subunit ribosomal RNA
Source: RNAcentral